AGUAAAAGUCGUAACAAGGUUUCCGUAGGUGAACCUGCGGAAGGAUCAUUACUGAGACUGGGUGCUCCGGCGCCCGACCUCCAACCCCUUGUCUACCCUACCACUGUUGCCUCGGCGCUCCCGCGAGCGCCGGCCGUUAGCUCGGCCGGCGCCUGGCGUGGCUCGCCGGCGGCCUACAAACCUAAACCCUUCUCUAAACCACGUCUUCUGAGUUUGAAAUUUAAUAAACUUCAAAACUUUCAACAACGGAUCUCUUGGUUCUGGCAUCGAUGAAGAACGCAGCGAAAUGCGAUAAGUAAUGUGAAUUGCAGAAUUCAGUGAAUCAUCGAAUCUUUGAACGCACAUUGCGCCCUUUGGUAUUCCGAAGGGCAUGCCUGUUCGAGCGUCAUUUUCAACCAUCAAGCUCUGCUUGGAGUUGGAGGUCAGCCCCGGUAACACGGGGCUCCUCCCAAACCGGUCGGCGGCGGCUCAGGAGCCUCAAGCGUUAGUAGAAUCUCCCGCUUCAGAGGACCCUCGGUCGCCCGCCUCCAGAAAACCCACACCUCAAGGUUGACCUCGGAUCAGGUAGGGAUACCCGCUGAACUUAAGCAUAUCAAUAAGCGGAGGA
RNAcentral lists this ribosomal RNA (607 nucleotides) under uncultured fungus. RNAcentral describes it as "eukaryotic LSU rRNA". The stretch from base 235 to 388 matches the Rfam family "5.8S ribosomal RNA". The record is from RNAcentral. Lineage: Eukaryota; Fungi.